GAGGGUAUAGCUCACUGGUAGAGUGCAUGCCUGGCAUGCACGGGGUCCUGGAUCCAACCCCCAGUACCUCCA
This 72-nucleotide transfer RNA is filed under the name Camelus bactrianus (Bactrian camel). It matches the Rfam family "tRNA". From Rfam's summary of the family: Transfer RNA (tRNA) molecules are approximately 80 nucleotides in length. Their secondary structure includes four short double-helical elements and three loops (D, anti-codon, and T loops). Further hydrogen bonds mediate the characteristic L-shaped molecular structure. tRNAs have two regions of fundamental functional importance: the anti-codon, which is responsible for specific mRNA codon recognition, and the 3' end, to which the tRNAs corresponding amino acid is attached (by aminoacyl-tRNA synthetases). tRNAs cope with the degeneracy of the genetic code in two manners: having more than one tRNA (with a specific anti-codon) for a particular amino acid; and 'wobble' base-pairing, i.e. permitting non-standard base-pairing at the 3rd anti-codon position. RNAcentral also lists the same sequence under 2 other names. The record is from Rfam by way of RNAcentral. Lineage: Eukaryota; Metazoa; Chordata; Mammalia; Artiodactyla; Camelidae.